This 397-nucleotide ribosomal RNA is filed under the name uncultured bacterium. Its description in RNAcentral is "partial 16S ribosomal RNA". It matches the Rfam family "Bacterial small subunit ribosomal RNA", at positions 523 to 918 of the family's 1533-position model. The record is from RNAcentral.
AUACGUAGGGGGCGAGCGUUGUCCGGAAUGAUUGGGCGUAAAGGGCGCGUAGGCGGCCCGGUAAGUCUGGAGUGAAAGUCCUGUUUUUAAGAUGGGAAUUGCUUUGGAUACUGUCGGGCUUGAGUGCAGGAGAGGUAAGUUGAAUUCCCAGUGUAGCGGUGAAAUGCGUAGAGAUUGGGAGGAACACCAGUGGCGAAGGCGGCUUACUGGACUGUAACUGACGCUGAGGCGCGAAAGUGUGGGGAGCAAACAGGAUUAGAUACCCUGGUAGUCCACACUGUAAACGAUGAAUGCUAGGUGUAGGGGGUAUCGACCCCUUCUGUGCCGCAGUCAACACAAUAAGCAUUCCGCCUGGGGAGUACGGCCGCAAGGUUGAAACUCAAAUGAAUUGACGGGG